GCCCAAUAGAGCAACCCUCCCACAAAUUUUAAUACACAACUAUAAAACUCUCAAAGCAUUCUUAUUCAAAUGAGAAGUAAGCCAAUAUAUCUGUAUUCAUUACUAUAAUAUUAUCAUGAGUUCCAAUCAAUGCAAUUUAA
This is a long non-coding RNA of Perognathus longimembris pacificus (Pacific pocket mouse), 140 nucleotides long. RefSeq lists it as uncharacterized. The record is from RefSeq and is a predicted model, not a curated record. The transcript has 2 exons. NCBI's taxonomy places the organism in Eukaryota, Metazoa, Chordata, Mammalia, Rodentia, Heteromyidae.